This 557-nucleotide long non-coding RNA is filed under the name Eucalyptus grandis. RNAcentral describes it as "long non-coding RNA (EGRA_LNC006854)". The record is from RNAcentral. Lineage: Eukaryota; Viridiplantae; Streptophyta; Magnoliopsida; Myrtales; Myrtaceae.
GGCUGUUCAAAUGGAUAGGCCAUGUGCUUUUAAUUUUGGGGUACACACCGGCAUAAGUGUGCAGAAGAGUCGACCGUAUUUAAAAAAGUCAGAAACACCUUGGCGUUUCGCAGUACUUGAUACAGAGAAAAAGGGUUUAAGCAGAUUGAGUCUGGCGAAGUUCUGUAAUUUAUUGAGACCCUUCUGUUUCGAUAGUCUUUUCAAGUGCUGGGAACUUCAAUUAUGUGUCUGCUUUACCAUCAAGACAGUGCUUACUGCUGUGAAUUUUGGGGAAAAAUGAUAGCUCCGUGUCAUGUAGCAUAUUAGUUUAUUUGAUGGUACUUCUUUGUAUGUCCUACAAAACAGAGGUUAGGACGAAUGCAAACACAAAUUAACAUGAUUAAAGACCGAAGAAUGAUGAGAAAAUGAUGAAACAUUGUGUCGUUUAACGAUAAACCUAAUGACGCCACAAAAGGGAAUAGUGGAGGAUCGGCUCAGAGUGGCCAAGUGAAACGAGGACGGACUGAUGGCCCAUUGUCCAGACCCAUCUGAUCAGUAGGUGUUCAGCCCGCUUUCGG